RNAcentral lists this ribosomal RNA (460 nucleotides) under uncultured bacterium. Its description in RNAcentral is "partial 16S ribosomal RNA". It matches the Rfam family "Bacterial small subunit ribosomal RNA", at positions 338 to 795 of the family's 1533-position model. The record is from RNAcentral.
CCUACGGGUGGCAGCAGUGAGGAAUAUUGGUCAAUGGACGAGAGUCUGAACCAGCCAAGUAGCGUGAAGGAUGACUGCCCUCUGGGUUGUAAACUUCUUUUAUAUGGGAAUAAACUGUUCCACGUGUGGCAUUUUGUAUGUACCAUAUGAAUAAGGAUCGGCUAACUCCGUGCCAGCAGCCGCGGUAAUACGGAGGAUCCGAGCGUUAUCCGGAUUUAUUGGGUUUAAAGGGAGCGUAGGUGGAUUGUUAAGUCAGUUGUGAAAGUUUGUGGCUCAACCGGAGAACUGCAGUUGAAACUGGCAGUCUAGAGUACAGUAGAGGUGGGCGGAAUUCGUGGUGUAGCGGUGAAAUGCUUAGAGAUCACGAAGAACUCCGAUUGCGAAGGCAGCUCACUGGACUGAAACUGACACUGAGGCGCGAAAGUGUGGGUAUCAAACAGGAUUAGAUACCCGGGUAGUC